AAAAUCUCUUUUUUUGUUUUUGAUUUAUAACACAUCUUUUUUCAAAUACAAAAUAGGAAACACAAUAACAAAAGACUCGACAUUACUAUACAGAACUAUUUGGUAAAAGACGGCAUAAAAAAUCUCCUUCAGCAACUCCUGAAUGAGCGAUCCUGACUGGAUGGUCCCGGGGUAUCUGUCAUGCUCAAACUCCGGUAAGUAGAUCCACACCUAUAUGAGAAAAUUAAGACCAAAUAAAGUUAAAGACCUAGAACACUAUGUGAGACAAUAACACUUCCAAUUGGAUACAUGCAAGAUAUGAUUGAGGCUAUUUUUGCAAAAUGGCUUAUGUGGCCAAAAAGUUGCUAGAAAUGCAAACUCAACAAAGGUGACCUAUAAGCCAUGGAAAAAUUACUUUACAGAAAUGACUCAUUUUGUAGAAAUAGCCUAUGUGGACAAAAAGAUGGCUAAGCAUGCAAAUUCAACACAAUGGACCUUAAGCAGAGAGAACAUCUUGUUGUGGACUUAAAACUCUAAAACAUGGGUCACUGAACCAUUUUUGCAAAAAUGAUCCCAUUUUGCAAGAACGACCGAUGUGGCCAAAGCGGCUAGACAUGCAAAUUCGACAAGGAUAGACCUUUAAAGCAAAGAGACACCUAAUUAUGGAUUGAAGGCUCUCCAGGCACAAUUAACAAACCACUUUGCGAAAAUAGCCCUAUUUUUGCAAAAUAACCGAUGUGGGCAAAAGUGGCUAGACAUGCAAGAGUUGGCUACGACCCUCGAAGCCAAUAAUCUAAGACUCACUAGGAAGACCAGACCCUAUGUGGGUUGCCUACGUAUCCCGCCCCGAGAGACAAGAAUCAGGUUCGCAUAGUUCGGGAAGAUUUGAUACGGGCGAGAAUAAAAAAAACUACUAAUUUAGAGAAAAUAUAUUAUUUUUUUGUCUUUUGUUUUGAAAAAUGAUGAAACAUGUACACUCUUUUUGGAUUUUUUUUUUCCUCUUUUUUUUUUGUUUAUUUUUUUGAAAAAAAAAGACGGGGACAGUGCAAAAUCUUUUUAGAUUUUUUCAUUUUCAUUUUUUUUGUUUUUUUCUUAAAGAAAAAUGUGAAAGAGAAACAUAACUGGGCCCUACUAGCUUUAUUUCUUAUACUUCAUUUAUUUAUUUAUUUAUCCUCAACCCUCAUUGGUCCGUCAAAUGACUCUUUUACCUUUGAAGAAUGGAACAUGUAGCACAUAAGAUGCAUCAGGAUGAUUUUUUAUUUUUGGGUACACUUGUCCUAGACGGACCCAACCCCUGUGUUGAGUCCCCAAAGUCAAAUGCACAUGAUGCAAACAAGCGUUCCUACUAGGGAUUCGGCAUGAGGCUGUGUUAUUCUUGGUUUAAAACCUGGGUGUAUUGCUCUAGACUUGGUAUACCCGAGCGGACAACUCAAGCCGGGAGGGGGGGGGGGGGGGGAGGCUACGUACCGGGAACCAAAAGGCCAUCUAACUUUGUAGCUUGUCCGAACCUCUUUUUAAAUUAGGAUAUGACACUAACAGAAAAGAAGUUACGCCAGCGUGCACUUCCCCGAAGAUAAGAAGAGAAGGGUUUCGCAGCAAUUUAUAUAUAGUUCAAAUAAUAUGAAAGCGGUAAAAAGUGGCAUUUAGCACAUUAGGCCCAAACAUGUAAUACAAAUCAGAUAAUAAAGAAAAGCCAAUUAUAAAGCUAUUCUAAGCUCGAAUUCUGAACCCUGAACCAGAAGUUCUGGGUUCUUGUCCCCAGUAGAAUCGCCAGAGCUGUCAUACCUCUUUUUUUCUACCACCGGAAGGGGUAUAGGGGAGUUUUUCCAAUUAAAGUGACAACCGAAAUGUGAUUAUUUAAUUAAAAUUCAGAGUCGCCACUUGGGAUAAUUUAUGGUGUCCCAAGUCACCAGUUUAAAAUCUCGAAUCGAGAAAGUUUGACUCUGUUUUAUAGUCCGCGAAACACAAAAAACCGGGUAAGGAAUUCUGUUAAUCCCGGAGAAGGUGUUAGGUAUUCCCGGGUUCCUUGGUUUUAGCAUGAUCGCCCAACUAUUAUUAUUGGCCUAAUUAUAUUAUUAAUUACACAUUUUAAACCUACGUGCAUUUUUUAACUUUCUAACCGCUUUUAAUGAUUUAUGGAAUUAUUCUGGAAUUAGUUACAAUUGUUGUACACUUGUUUGUUUGGUACACAUUGCGAAUCGUGUCACCCGGGAACCGUACCCAUGAUCUACAACGCGUUUAAUUUGUUAACAUUAUUAGAAGUUGUGACCAGGUCAGAUAAAUGUACCCCGGGAUAUGGAAAUUAUGUAUCACAACUACGUCACGGAAACCGUACCCGUAGCCAUGAUAAUUUUAUUAUAGUGCGCCUCAAGCAAACUAUGAUGAGACGUAUCCCGAUUGAGACAUCUAUUGUUAGUGCACUUUAGUUAAUCCAGCUAUAUCCACCAACUUCAAAGGAAUCAGAUUUCCAUAUAUAAACAUACUACCGCCAACCUAAUGCACUCAAGAUAAUUCCAACUAAAUCCACCAACAAGAGAGUAAUCCAGUUAUUUAUUCAACUAACCAAUUGGAAAAUUCAACAGCCUUUUCUUUUACAAGAGUACGAGGGUGUAUAUCCCAUAACUUAAAAACCAAACGAUCAAAUAUGGUAAAUAGCACAUAAAGCUAAUUAACAAAUGAAACAUCAUCACAUUCUGCCAAACAAAGCAACAAGAUGGUAACUCGGUAGAGCAGAAAUUUACAACUACAAGGAUCAAACAAAUCCAUAGAAAGAAGUCUCAAACAUAUUAAACUUAAACAACAAGAACCAAUACCAAGAAGUCAUUAAAAUACAACAAUAAGCAAUAUACGAAUACUAAGCAUGAUAUUAAGCAAAACCACACAAUAAACCUUCAGGAAACAUUGUAUGAAUAGGACCUUACAAGAUUUUCUCCAAAAUAGAAAUCUGGAUCCAAUUUUGGACUACGACCGGAACCCUCGACAAACUACCUCGAUCUCGACAGUAUCUCAGUCAUGAUUUCAAAAGAAAUUGAAUGGACAAUAUCUGAAAUAAGCCAAGCGAAGCUUGGAACCAGAUUCAAGUUCCUCUCAUGCUCACAAAAACUCCACUGGUUCGUUGUUGUCCCUUUCUCGUUUCUGUGCAUGUGUGUGGAUGUGUGUGAGUGUUUUUUGUGAAGAUAUGGUAAAGAGAAGGAGGAGCAGUGAUGGGUGUUAUAGAAUGGUCAAGAUUCAGCCGGCUGCUUAAGGUCGUUCGCAUUUUCUCGGCGAGCUGGUGAGAUCGAGUGAAAAAGAAAGGCCGUUCCUGCUGUUAGGGUCGUCGGCGUGGUGGUCACUGGUUAGUGUUGCUGAAGCUUAGGGUUCUAAGGGUGUUAGACUGAGGAAGAUGAUAGUCUUGGGGUUUUGGCUUUGUUUCAAAGAAGAAUAUGAAGCUUAGGGGUGUUCAUGGAAACGACUGUCCAUUCUCGCUCUCUUUCUUGGUGAAGAUGAAGGUGGAAACGGCCGGAAUCUGGUCUGGUUUGAAAAGUGGCGGCUGGCUAUAUGGAAAUUAGGGUUGGUGUAUCCAUGAAGAAGAAGGAACGACUGGAAAAAUAUGGGUCCUCUCUAGGGUUGCUUCUCU
This 3595-nucleotide long non-coding RNA is filed under the name Nicotiana tabacum (common tobacco). RNAcentral describes it as "long non-coding RNA (NTAB_LNC011045)". Lineage: Eukaryota; Viridiplantae; Streptophyta; Magnoliopsida; Solanales; Solanaceae. The record is from RNAcentral.